GUGAUCUCAGCCGCUUUGAGGUCAAUGGUAGAAUAGGAAAUAUCUUCCUAUAGAAAGUAGACAGAAUGAUUCUCAUAAACUCCUUUGUGAUGUGUGCGUUCAACUCACAGAGUUUAACCUUUCUUUUCAUAGAGCAGUUAGGAAACACUCUGUUUGUAAAGUCUGCAAGUGGAUAUUCAGACCUCCUUGAGGCCUUCGUUGGAAACGGGAUUUCUUCAUAUUCUGCUAGACAGAAGAAUUCUCAGUAACUUCCUUGUGUUGUGUGUUUUCAACUCACAGAGUUGAACGAUCCUUUACACAGAGCAGACUUGAAACACUCUUUUUUUGGAAUUUGAAAGUGGAGAUUUCAGCCGCUUUGAGGUCAAUGGUAGAAUAGGAAAUAUCUUCCUAUAGAAACUAGACAGAAUGAUUCUCAGAAUCUCCUUUGUGAUGUGUGCGUUCAACUCUCAGAGUUUAACUUUUCUUUUCAUUCAGCGGUUUGGAAACACUCUGUUUGUUAAGUCUGCACGUGGAUAUUUUGACCACUUAGAGGCCUUCGUUGGAAACGGGUAUUUUUCAUGUAAGGCUAGACAGAAGAAUUCCCAGUAACUUCCUUGUGUUGUGUGCAUUCAACUCACAGAGUUGAACGUUCCCUUAGACAGAGCAGAUUUGAAACACUCUAUUUGUGCAAUUGGCAAGUGUAGAUUU
Molecule: long non-coding RNA, 687 nt
Filed under: Homo sapiens (human)
Lineage: Eukaryota; Metazoa; Chordata; Mammalia; Primates; Hominidae
Description: LHRI_LNC1591.1
Source: RNAcentral